AUGUCUGUCGCCUUCGGACAAUCGGUAUUUAGUGGUUCGAUUGAGAUUUGGACGAUAUUUUACUGGAAGGCUCUUCGUAAAGAUAUUUUUACGAAGAUUACUUUUCGUAAAAACGUUUAUACUGAUUUUUACGGACUUUCAGGCAUUGAUUCCGUCGUGACCGAUUUUGACCCCAACAAGUGUUUGAGAAUACUAAGGAACUCAACGCCGGUAAACUUGGCGCCAGGUGGGAGGGACCUUACAAAAUCAUCAAAGUCAUAAAGCCUGGUGUAUACCGACUCCAAACGUCGCGCGGCGAAGAAGUCCCACGAUCAUGGAACUCAAUGCACCUACGACGCUUCUACCCGUAGGAGUAUUUCCGCUUCAGGAAAAAAAAAAAAAAAACGAGUAGAUGCACCCCCGUGGUCACUUCUACCCAACCGAGUAAAUGCGCUAACAACGGCCACUUUUACUCGGGAAAACACGAACUACGAAUGGCUUGAUCCUCAACCGAGGUACGUAGGCAGCCUUAACAGGUCCAACUAUACAAAACCAAAGUUAAAACCUUGUUUAGACCUCAAUCGAGUAAAUAAUGAUUCUCAUACCCAACGGCUCCCAAUCCUCCAGCAGAGGACACGCGGACGCUCACGUUCCUUUGUCUAUAGCUAUGUCCUGAUCAGACACUUGGCCUAAGGACCAUAAGGUCGCGAGUCACCUAUGCCCAAGAGCAUUGACCGCCCAAACAGAGUUAAUCUUCGCCUUUUCUCGACUAACGCGUAACGGAUUAGCUACCCGGUUACUCGAUCGUCACUAAGAAAACGGACGAAAGAACCUUCCACUCUUAGAUUCAGUUCCUUGUUUUCGAAAUUUGAAUACUCGCCUACUCGUGACCUCAAAUCAAGAAUACAACAAGACCUGAACGAACCCCUUUUAGCGGUUUUGUAUAACAGGUCGAGCUAUACAAAACCAAAGUUAAAACCUUGUUUAUACCUCAAUCGAGUAAAUAAUGAUUCUCAUACCCAACGGCUCCCAAUCCUCCAGCAGAGGACACGCGGACGCUCACGUUCCUUUGUCUAUAGCUAUGUCCUGAUCAGACACUUGGCCUAAGGACCAUACGGUCGCGAGUCACCUACGCCCAAGAGCGUUGACCGGCCAAACAGAGUGAAUCUUCGCCUUUUCUCGACUAACGCGUAAUGGAUUAGCUACCCGGUUACUCGAUCGUCACUAAGAAAACGGACGAAAGAACCUUCCACUCUUAGAUUCAGUUCCUUGUUUUCGAA
This 1259-nucleotide long non-coding RNA is filed under the name Brassica rapa (field mustard). RNAcentral describes it as "long non-coding RNA (BRAP_LNC008296)". Lineage: Eukaryota; Viridiplantae; Streptophyta; Magnoliopsida; Brassicales; Brassicaceae. The record is from RNAcentral.